Lagenorhynchus albirostris (white-beaked dolphin) is the source of this 421-nucleotide long non-coding RNA. RefSeq lists it as uncharacterized. The record is from RefSeq and is a predicted model, not a curated record. The transcript has 3 exons. NCBI's taxonomy places the organism in Eukaryota, Metazoa, Chordata, Mammalia, Artiodactyla, Delphinidae.
CUCUUCUAAGAUACAAUCUUAUGUGGAAUCCCAGAUACACGAAGUGAAUUCAGGAUUCACACUGUGGACGUGCACGUGUGGCAAGUCUUCCUCACAGCAGAGUCACUAGCAGCCCAAGGUGACGGCCCUUCUGUUCAGCUCCGGGUCUGAGGGUUGAAGAUGCCAAACCCCGCUGGUUGAAGAUUCGCGUGUGUCACAGCUCCGUAAGCACAGACGCACCGGUGCAGUCCUGUGGACUCGCAUAUGCGCCUGAAACUGACCUUUGCUGAGGCAUCUAUUUCAAAGACAUCCAUUCGAAUAAACCCACGGCAGCUGCGGACGUAGCUACUGGCUACCAUCACGUAAGGAACCGGGCAGCCCUGCCUGGAGGACCCCCUUUCAGAAACCCUAGAUGGCCGAGCCUGGAGCAACCUGCCUCUCC